UCCACGGAAUUUUUCAAACUUGCGGUUC
RNAcentral lists this non-coding RNA (28 nucleotides) under Bombyx mori (domestic silkworm). Lineage: Eukaryota; Metazoa; Arthropoda; Insecta; Lepidoptera; Bombycidae. The record is from RNAcentral.